Molecule: ribosomal RNA, 253 nt
Filed under: uncultured bacterium
Lineage: Bacteria
Description: partial 16S ribosomal RNA
Rfam family: Bacterial small subunit ribosomal RNA
Source: RNAcentral
UACGUAGGGUGCGAGCGUUAAUCGGAAUUACUGGGCGUAAAGCGUGCGCAGGCGGUGAUGUGAGACAGGUGUGAAAUCCCCGGGCUUAACCUGGGAACUGCAUUUGUGACUGCAUCGCUGGAGUGCGGCAGAGGGGGAUGGAAUUCCGCGUGUAGCAGUGAAAUGCGUAGAUAUGCGGAGGAACACCGAUGGCGAAGGCAACCCCCUGGGCCUGCACUGACGCUCAUGCACGAAAGCGUGGGGAGCAAACAAG